AAGAUGCAGAUGAUGGAGGACAGGGCGAUGCUGGAGAACAUCAUCAGGACCGAGAGGAAGCAGCGCGAGGAGGAGU
This 76-nucleotide non-coding RNA is filed under the name Hemiselmis tepida. The record is from RNAcentral. Lineage: Eukaryota; Cryptophyceae; Cryptomonadales; Hemiselmidaceae.